UUCCUAGAAGCGAAUUUUUCGCAUUAAGUUUCGGCCUUAACCUUAGGAAAUCAGUUUAAUUUCCUCUAGGGGUCCA
This 76-nucleotide transfer RNA is filed under the name Cerion incanum. Its description in RNAcentral is "tRNA-Arg". The record is from RNAcentral. Lineage: Eukaryota; Metazoa; Mollusca; Gastropoda; Stylommatophora; Cerionidae.